GCCAACUACGUGCCAGCAGCCGCGGUAAUACGUAGGGGGCGAGCGUUGUCCGGAAUUAUUGGGCGUAAAGCGCGUGUAGGCGGCCCCGUAAGUCGGAUGUGAAAUCCCAGGGCUCAACCCUGGAACUGCAUCCGAUACUGCGGGGCUUGAGGUAGGUAGAGGAAGGUGGAAUUUCCGGUGUAGCGGUGGAAUGCGCAGAUAUCGGAAGGAACACCGAUGGCGAAGGCAGCCUUCUGGGCCUCACCUGACGCUGAGACGCGAAAGCAUGGGUAGCAAACAGGAUUAGAUACCCUUGUAGUC
This 300-nucleotide ribosomal RNA is filed under the name uncultured Patulibacter sp. RNAcentral's name for it is "bacterial SSU rRNA". It matches the Rfam family "Bacterial small subunit ribosomal RNA", at positions 496 to 795 of the family's 1533-position model. Lineage: Bacteria; Bacillati; Actinomycetota; Thermoleophilia; Solirubrobacterales; Patulibacteraceae. The record is from RNAcentral.